Molecule: long non-coding RNA, 942 nt
Filed under: Ananas comosus (pineapple)
Lineage: Eukaryota; Viridiplantae; Streptophyta; Magnoliopsida; Poales; Bromeliaceae
Description: long non-coding RNA (ACOM_LNC022226)
Source: RNAcentral
UUAGGUUACGCGGGGAAUUGCUGAGAAGGCGGGGGAAAUUGCUGAGAAGGCAGUGCCUCUAGAAGACGGUGAACCAUUCACCGUCUUCAAGAGGUUAGACUAAAGACGGUGAACGAGUCACCGUCUUUGUGAGAAAUGCUGAUGUGGCGGCUGAGGUGGCGAGAGGAGGGUUAGUUUCACAAAUAAAAGUUUCACAGGGUUAUUUUGCCAAUUACGAAAUUUCAGAGGGUUAUUUUCGAAAAAAGUCCUAGGUAUCUCCGAAUCUUCAUAUCGUAAAGUAGUAAGGUAAAAUUGCAUUCUUAGCCCCUAUACUAUGUUGAUUUUGCAACUUAAUUCUGUACCUAAGUAAAAAAAAUAGGACUGUUUCGUUGAAUUUAGUUGCAAUCGUACUACAGUUAUAAUUAUAUUCAGAUCUAUAUUCAAUAUUUAGUUUAAUGUAUUUGAAUUCAUCUGCAUGAGGAGGCCCAAUACAACAAUUAAAAUUACCACCAAAUUAGCCGCAGUUCUAAAUACAACGGUUGAAAAAAAUAAUUUUAAACAAAAAAUAAACUAACCUCUAAAAUAAUUUUUUAAACAGAAAAUACUUUUCUAUUCUAUAUUGGAGGUAAUGCACUAUAAACUAGCUUAUAUAUAAUGUAAUAAUAUUUAAAAAAAGACAAAUCUUAAUUGCAUGCCACUAAGUAAAUUAUUUAUAAUUGUUGUAUUUUCUAACACAUCCAGAUGCAUUUAGUUAUAACUAUUGUAUUUUUUAAUUGCAUAUAUUUUUAACUGUAUUGUAUCUUAUUAUGUACAAUUACCAAGUGUUUGGUACUUUUAAAAAUAUUUGGUGUUUGUGUGCAUGUUGGGUUGAAUUAGUUUGAAAACUUUAGUUCAGAAAUUUUAGUUCAAAUUAGUUAUGUAUGUGGCUAGGUGUUUGUGGAUAUGUGAAAAUUUUAGUUCAAA